Molecule: unclassified non-coding RNA, 231 nt
Filed under: uncultured Thanatephorus
Lineage: Eukaryota; Fungi; Basidiomycota; Agaricomycetes; Cantharellales; Ceratobasidiaceae
Description: sequence contains ITS2
Source: RNAcentral
AAAUCUUCAAAGUAGACCUUUUGUUAAUUCAAUUGGUUCCUUACUUUGGUAUUGGAGGUCUUUGCAGCUUCACACCUGCUCCUCUUUGUUCAUUAGCUGGAUCUCAGUGUUAUGCUUGGUUCCACUCAGCGUGAUAAGUAUCUAUCGCUGAGGACACUGUAAAAAGUGGCCAAGGUAAAUGCAGAUGAACCGCUUCUAACAGUCCAUUGACUUGGACAAUUAAUUUUUAUG